GCAUGUUUGGAAAUGUUUUUCUCUUGCUCUUUCACUUGAAGGCAAAUCUUAUGAAAUUCAGUACUUUGAGGGUUUUGUGGACCUUUGAUCACGGUCACCUACCAUCCAAUAUUGAGGUGAAGGAAUCUGAGAUUAGUUCGCCCUUGUUGUAUGUAACCUGGUAGUUUGCCAGAAAGUCCAAAGGAUACUACUCUCAGAAGACAGGAGCAUUGCCAGAAUACAUCUCCAUACUGAUAAUUCUGGAUCAACUUUUCUUAUCAAACAGCAUGACUUUUAAGUCUUUUUAUAACGUCAUACUUUAUUUCAGAAAGAAAAUAAAAGCUUUCUUCUAAAAUCAAAUUAUAAGUGAUUUUAUCUCAGUCUAUCCUAUUCUUGUAGAAAUGCAAGUUAGGCAUACAUUGCAUGUAUUUGUGUUUAUUUUGUAUCAAUUAGUUUCUCUCUGAUCAUUUCUAGCUUUUCGUUGUCAUUUCUUUUUGAUUUGUUUUAUCAAGCCUAUGUUUUAGGCCUCUUAGUAUUUUUUAAUAGUGUUUCUUCUCAUUUUGUUGCCUUCAUUUCAAUAAUGAUUUCUUCUCCUACUACAUCCCUGCAACUGGUCAUGUAUUUUUGCAAAUUAUAUUGUAUUUGACAGCUCUAUUUUGGAAUUAAUGAUUGUUAUUUCCUUUUUUUGUUGUUAUUGUCAUUAGGAAUGGAAAUAGAGUAAGAAAUAUUUAUUCCACCAAUAUGCCCAUUACUUCAAAGAAAAUUUACAUUUAUCUUUUGUGAAAAUAUUGAAAUAAAAGAUGCAAAAUAAAAAAGAGAAUUCCACUUCUACUGGUGAUAGAGUACUCUAUAUUAGACUAACUCUAAGAACCACAAUGAAAGCUAAAAAAAAAAAAGAGAAAGGGAGAGAGAGGAAGGGAGAGAGAAAAUGAUGGGAACAGAGGGGAAACGAUAUCUCAUGUUUUCUUUUUUCUUUUAUUCUCUUGCUUGCAGGCUGGAUUGAGCAUAUUCUAUGAACUGGACACUCUUAUUUCUUCUUCUGUGAUUUGCUGGUUGCCAACAGUUGCAUACUGCGAUGACAUAAGCUACUUUGAGCCGUCGGUAGUGAAAGCUGCAUUUAUGGCAUUCACCUGACAGAUGAUGCUAUGAAUUCAGGGAUUCCAUUUGGUGUUCAGAAUCAAGGGGUAAUGCCAAGGUGCUACACAACUAACAAUAAUUACGAGAAGAAAAAUGAGGAUCAGUUUCACAAACGAUAAAUUAGAAAAGGUUUUGGACUUGAAGCCCAAAUGAAGAAUCACCUUAUUCCCUCUCCCUCGACUAAAGAUAACCCUCUUCUACUAAGUGUCCGCAUUACCUAAUCAGAAUAUGAAGAAGCUGCAUCACAGAGACUUGAAUCAUAUGGGUACAUGAAUCAUAUAAGAGAGACAGCGACCACAUGAGUGUGAGUUGGAGAGAGGAGCAGAGGGGAAGAGAGAAUCUUAUGCAGACUCCACACCUAGCAUCGAUGCAGCGUUAGAUCUGACAACUGACUGAGAUCAUGACCUGAGCCGAAAUCAAGAGUCAGACACUUAACCCACUGAGCCACCCAGGUGCUUCUCCCUUUUUUAGGAGGUUGUUUAUUUUUAAAGCAUUAGCCAGAAAUUUCUGAAUAACUUUGUUUGAUAUCCACUAAACCAAGAAGAGAGAAAGUCAAAUGGAUAUUCUUUGAAGCUACAUACAGAAAAAUAAAAGUGCCACAUAUGAACCAAAGUAGCCAGAAAUCCUCAGUGGGUUUUUUUUCCUCAUUUUGUAAAUGUUUAUUCAUGUUUGAGAUGGGGGAGGGGCAGAGAG
Long non-coding RNA from Felis catus (domestic cat), 1809 nucleotides. RefSeq lists it as uncharacterized. NCBI's taxonomy places the organism in Eukaryota, Metazoa, Chordata, Mammalia, Carnivora, Felidae. The record is from RefSeq and is a predicted model, not a curated record. The transcript has 4 exons.